This 489-nucleotide ribosomal RNA is filed under the name uncultured bacterium. Its description in RNAcentral is "partial 16S ribosomal RNA". It matches the Rfam family "Bacterial small subunit ribosomal RNA", at positions 30 to 506 of the family's 1533-position model. The record is from RNAcentral.
AUUGAACGCUGGCGGCAGGCCUAACACAUGCAAGUCGAACGGUAACAGGAAGAAGCUUGCUUCUUUGCUGACGAGUGGCGGACGGGUGAGUAAUGUCUGGGAAACUGCCUGAUGGAGGGGGAUAACUACUGGAAACGGUAGCUAAUACCGCAUAACGUCGCAAGACCAAAGAGGGGGACCUUCGGGCCUCUUGCCAUCGGAUGUGCCCAGAUGAGAUUAGCUAGUAGGUGGGGUAACGGCUCACCUAGGCGACGAUCCCUAGCUGGUCUGAGAGGAUGACCAGCCACACUGGAACUGAGACACGGUCCAGACUCCUACGGGAGGCAGCAGUGGGGAAUAUUGCACAAUGGGCGCAAGCCUGAUGCAGCCAUGCCGCGUGUAUGAAGAAGGCCUUCGGGUUGUAAAGUACUUUCAGCGGGGAGGAAGGGAGUAAAGUUAAUACCUUUGCUCAUUGACGUUACCCGCAGAAGAAGCACCGGCUAACUCCGU